GAUUAACGCUGGCGGCGUGCCUGACACAUGCAAGUCGAACGAGCGAAGCCCUUCGGGGCCUAGCUAGUGGCGGACGGGUGAGUAACACGUGAGGAACCUACCUUCAAGUGGGGAAUAAGCUCCAGAAAUGGGGUCUAAUACCGCAUGUGGUUGCAACGCGGCAUCGCGAUGCACCUAAAGAUUUAUCGCUUGGAGACGGCCUCGCGGCCUAUUAGCUAGUUGGUGGGGUAACGGCCUACCAAGGCGAUGAUGGGUAGCUGGUCUGAGAGGACGAUCA
Molecule: ribosomal RNA, 277 nt
Filed under: uncultured bacterium
Lineage: Bacteria
Description: partial 16S ribosomal RNA
Rfam family: Bacterial small subunit ribosomal RNA
Source: RNAcentral